Molecule: ribosomal RNA, 254 nt
Filed under: uncultured bacterium
Lineage: Bacteria
Description: partial 16S ribosomal RNA
Rfam family: Bacterial small subunit ribosomal RNA
Source: RNAcentral
UACGUAGGGUGCAAGCGUUGUCCGGAAUUAUUGGGCGUAAAGAGCUCGUAGGCGGUUCGUCGCGUCGGCUGUGAAAACCUGAGGCUCAACCUCAGGCCUGCAGUCGAUACGGGCGGACUUGAGUACUGCAGGGGAGACUGGAAGUUCCUGGUGUAGCGGUGGAAUGCGCAGAUAUCAGGAGGAACACCGGUGGCGAAGGCGGGUCUCUGGGCAGUAACUGACGCUGAGGAGCGAAAGCGUGGGGAGCGAACAGG